Molecule: long non-coding RNA, 337 nt
Organism: Zalophus californianus (California sea lion)
Lineage: Eukaryota; Metazoa; Chordata; Mammalia; Carnivora; Otariidae
Exons: 3
Source: RefSeq, a predicted model, not a curated record
GGUGCUGGGAGUAGAGACGGUUCCUGUGCUGAAGCAGCCCACAGUUUUUAGAGGGGAGAAAGAGAGAGAGGGAAGAGACGUUCUGGAGGCAAAGAAACGCUAGCAUCAGAAGACACCUUAUUUGAGAGAUUUCAUUGAUUCAUUAGUGAUUCAUGAACUGAAGAACCCAUGGCCAAUAGCACCAUAACUGGAGCCUGAAUGAAAGCCCUCAAGAGUCUUCUCUUCCCAUUCUGCAAGCCCGAGGAGCAUUCUUCAGACCUUCCAAGGCCUCCGGAUGUAUCCUGCAGAUUGUUGCAAACCUCAGGUAUAUCCUCAUUUCAAUUAAAAGACAAGAGCU